Molecule: ribosomal RNA, 494 nt
Filed under: uncultured bacterium
Lineage: Bacteria
Description: partial 16S ribosomal RNA
Rfam family: Bacterial small subunit ribosomal RNA
Source: RNAcentral
GAACGCUGGCGGCGUGCCUAAUACCUGCACGUCGAGCGAACAGACGAGGAGCUUGCUCCUCUGACGUUAGCGGCGGACGGGUUAGUAACACGUGGAUAACCUACCUAUAAGACUGGGAUAACUUCGGGAAACCGGAGCUAAUACCGGAUAAUAUAUUGAACCGCAUGGUUCAAUAGUGAAAGACGGUUUUGCUGUCACUUAUAGAUGGAUCCGCGCCGCAUUAGCUAGUUGGUAAGGUAACGGCUUACCAAGGCAACGAUGCGUAGCCGACCUGAGAGGGUGAUCGGCCACACUGGAACUGAGACACGGUCCAGACUCCUACGGGAGGCAGCAGUAGGGAAUCUUCCGCAAUGGGCGAAAGCCUGACGGAGCAACGCCGCGUGAGUGAUGAAGGUCUUCGGAUCGUAAAACUCUGUUAUUAGGGAAGAACAAAUGUGUAAGUAACUAUGCACGUCUUGACGGUACCUAAUCAGAAAGCCACGGCUAACUACGUG